UUACCAAACUACUAGGGGCAUUUUAUUUUUUGGAUUAUGGAUCCUUUCAGGUGGCAGGGGGCAUUUUAACUGAGGUGCAUAAGUCCACUUUUUCUAAGCAUCUUUCACAAGUUCUUGAUGGACUUUAUUAUAAUUGCAGAAUUUUUUUUUUUUUUUCCCACAUCACCCAGAGGAGAACCAGGUUGUUGGGCCUGCUGAAUUAAGAUAUAAUGAAGCACAUAUCAAAACACGUGCUAUAAUAGAAAGACUGUUCGGUGUUCUAAAAAUGCGCUUUCGCUGCCUGGACAGAUCAGGGGGAUCUCCAAUACAGUCCUGAAAAAGCAAUAAAAAUCAUAGUGGCAUGUUGCGGUCUACAUAACAUGGCACAGGAGCAUGGGGUGUUGAACGAUUUACUUCCACCACCACAGCCCCCAGGUGAAAUCUUUGAGCCUGAUGUAAUUAAUCAUCCCCAACCACUCAAUGGCAAUUUGGAGAGAACUACAACUAUUCGAGAUUUCUUUUCAGAUUGAAGAUUGUCAGUUAAAGAUUCUCAGAAAUGUAAUACCACUCCCCUUCCUCUCACCUCAUCCCUAUAUUUACCACAUUUUCCCUAAAUAAAUGUGUACUUUACUCAAA
This is a long non-coding RNA of Bombina bombina (fire-bellied toad), 615 nucleotides long. RefSeq lists it as uncharacterized. The transcript is spliced from 3 exons. Lineage: Eukaryota; Metazoa; Chordata; Amphibia; Anura; Bombinatoridae. The record is from RefSeq and is a predicted model, not a curated record.